CCGCCGCGCGUCAGGAGACUGACAACCGGAAGUCACGACUGAAACCCGGAAGUCCCAGGAGCACACGUGACUCUGCCUCGCCUCUCUUCUUCCCAACGUGGUUGCCAGGGAGACGCCGCAGCGGUCUUAGGCUGGAAGGGAAGGAUGCCUGGGGGCCUGGUCGCAGGAGAUGCAGUGUGUGUUCUCUGCUUUCAGGGAUGCUUCGCAUGGUACAGCAGCCCCGGAUGACUUCGGCCUGUUGCAGUAUGCCGUCUCCCCUCACCCAGAUGGAAUGCGUGGAAGUCCCAGACAGUGUCUGAAGAGUGGUCUAAUAAACGCCCAUUUUGGAAGAAUGCCAAAGAAAUGAUAUCUACAUGGAUCAUGAGUGACGCCCAUUCUUGAGUGAUCUCCUCACCAUACUUCUCACAUAGCCAUAUAAAGUACACCUUUUUCAGAAACCACAUAAACAGAGGACAAGCAAAUUGCACAGUUCCCAUUUGGACAUUCGCAGAGACGUUAGAAAUGGUUGACAAGUAUCACCUGAAAUGCUUACCACUUUGACUCUGUUAGUGCACUGUCUUCUGGUCUCUGAAAUCCCUGGUGGCAGAUACCCUUAUUAUCUUGUUGAUGACCUUUGCCUGUGUUGCCAUUUCUUGUACUUCUGUACUGAAGAUUCACUUUUUACCUAGCUGUGAUGGCACAAAUGUGUUCUCAAGCACUGGGGAGCUUAAGCCAGGACAGUUGCAAAGUUUUGUGGAGCCUGAGCAAAUCACCAAAUCCCUGUCUUAGAGCAACAGUAGGAUUCUUUAUUAUUGUUUUUUCAAAUUUUGAUUUUAAAGAGUAUCAGGGUAGGUCUGAGUUUAUGUUGAAAUUCCUUGAGUUUCUUUGUUAGCUAUACUAAUAAUAAAAGAUAUUAAAAUUCAAA
Molecule: non-coding RNA, 904 nt
Organism: Myodes glareolus (Bank vole)
Lineage: Eukaryota; Metazoa; Chordata; Mammalia; Rodentia; Cricetidae
Source: RefSeq, a predicted model, not a curated record